GCCCCGCCCCGCGCGGCUCCGCCCCGCGUGAUCCCAUGACGCCCGCCCGCCCGCCGCGGCCCAAUCUCCGCCGCGCACCCCCGCGCCCCGCGUGCCAAUGAUGUCAGAGCCUCCCAAUCGCCGCGCGGCAAGCGCCGCGGCUCCUCCUGGCGUGACCGAGCCUGGCCGUGACGGCUCCCGCCAUUGGCCCGAUUCGAAAUUCGCCCAGUCCUGAUUGGCGGGGCCGGCGGCAGGCUAUUUUUAGCAGGUAACUGUUGCCAGUGGGCAGGAUUCAGAUCUUGUUCACAUCAGUGUAACUGUGGUAGCUUCGGAAGAUCAGCAGGGAAAAGGAAAUGAAAAGCAAACUCUAUCAUGGGAGUGGAUAUUCCAUUGUCUGGUAUUUUCUCUUCAACGAGAGUGCUGGUGUGGUCAGGGUGACUGUUCUGUGUCAUCACUGGCAUUUUGCCUGUACCUGCCGCGUGUCCUUGGAUGUCAUAUUUUCUGUACAACUUUACUUUUAGAGCCAUGACUCCCAUCCGUAUUCUUUCUGAGAUUCAGAUAGUCAUAAAGAAGUCAGGAAAUGUCUCUCUGGGAACCCCCUUGUUAAAGGCCUGAUUUUUUUUUUCUUUUUCUCAUUCUUUUAUUUGCCUUAUUUUUCUGUCUAAGAUUUGCUUUUCUCUUUGGUCUAUAUAAUAUGUCACAUUUCUCAAACCAAAGCUACAAAUACUUUCGUAUAGAGGCAGAAGAGUUGUCUGCUUUCACUUCUGUUAGUAGUUAAGUAUCUUCUGUUGCAAUAGUUUUAACAAGAAUUUUAUUGGAUUUAUUGAACUGACUCACAACAUGCAUUUAUGACCAUUACAGUGCCUGCUCUGCAGGAUCUUUAUUUUUCAGAGAUGGAAACACAUCAUUGUGUUAAAAGCUGUGUAUGAUGAUUGCUCUUUCCCCUUUUUAUGGCUAACAGGAAAUUUUUUCUGCAGUUUAAACUGCAGAACAAGAAAUAGUCAACUCAGUUGAGGAGUCGGAGCAGAAAAGCCUGUUACUAUGAUUGUAUAACAUUGAGUAAAUGUUAAUAAUUCGUAGUGGUAAGUUUAGAUUUCAUGAAAAACUGUUAGCAUAUGAUUUUUAUUUUUUUCUUGAAUACAAGAAUUAAUAGUUGAAAUCCUAUUUGUACUGGCAAAAGAUCCAUGUGUGCAAUUGGCAUCCACAUUUUCUGGUAGGUGGUGGACUUGUGGAUCAUCGGUGAGACAAUACUGAGGGAGCU
This is a long non-coding RNA of Pezoporus occidentalis (night parrot), 1240 nucleotides long. RefSeq lists it as uncharacterized. NCBI's taxonomy places the organism in Eukaryota, Metazoa, Chordata, Aves, Psittaciformes, Psittacidae. The transcript has 3 exons. The record is from RefSeq and is a predicted model, not a curated record.